This 492-nucleotide ribosomal RNA is filed under the name uncultured bacterium. Its description in RNAcentral is "bacterial SSU rRNA". It matches the Rfam family "Bacterial small subunit ribosomal RNA", at positions 43 to 524 of the family's 1533-position model. The record is from RNAcentral.
CAGGCCUAACACAUGCAAGUCGAACGGUAACAGGAAGCAGCUUGCUGCUUCGCUGACGAGUGGCGGACGGGUGAGUAAUGUCUGGGAAACUGCCUGAUGGAGGGGGAUAACUACUGGAAACGGUAGCUAAUACCGCAUAAUGUCGCAAGACCAAAGUGGGGGACCUUCGGGCCUCAUGCCAUCAGAUGUGCCCAGAUGGGAUUAGCUAGUAGGUGAGGUAAUGGCUCACCUAGGCGACGAUCCCUAGCUGGUCUGAGAGGAUGACCAGCCACACUGGAACUGAGACACGGUCCAGACUCCUACGGGAGGCAGCAGUGGGGAAUAUUGCACAAUGGGCGCAAGCCUGAUGCAGCCAUGCCGCGUGUAUGAAGAAGGCCUUCGGGUUGUAAAGUACUUUCAGCGAGGAGGAAGGCGAUAAGGUUAAUAACCUUGUCGAUUGACGUUACUCGCAGAAGAAGCACCGGCUAACUCCGUGCCAGCAGCCGCGGUAAU